GGGGGUAGGCCGGAUCCUGGGCUGUCCCUGUGCCCAGUGCUCCCGGGCCUGCGCUGUUGGAUUCGCAAUCCCGGUGGCGCAGCCGCCU
This 88-nucleotide microRNA precursor is filed under the name Canis lupus familiaris (dog). RNAcentral's name for it is "mir-8799 microRNA precursor family". It matches the Rfam family "mir-8799 microRNA precursor family". RNAcentral also lists the same sequence under 1 other name. Lineage: Eukaryota; Metazoa; Chordata; Mammalia; Carnivora; Canidae. The record is from Rfam by way of RNAcentral.